This 250-nucleotide ribosomal RNA is filed under the name uncultured bacterium. RNAcentral describes it as "partial 16S ribosomal RNA". It matches the Rfam family "Bacterial small subunit ribosomal RNA", at positions 524 to 773 of the family's 1533-position model. The record is from RNAcentral.
CACGUAGGGCGCGAGCGUUGUCCGGAUUUAUUGGGCGUAAAGGGCUCGUAGGUGGUUUGUCACGUCGAAAGUGAAAAUCCGGGGCUCAACUCCGGACUUGCUUUCGAUACGGGCAGACUAGAGGUAGGCAGGGGAGAAUGGAAUACCUGGUGUAGCGGUGGAAUGCGCAGAUAUCAGGUGGAACACCGGUGGCGAAGGCGGUUCUCUGGGCCUUACCUGACACUGAGGAGCGAAAGCGUGGGGAGCGAAC